RNAcentral lists this ribosomal RNA (1298 nucleotides) under Staphylococcus saprophyticus. Its description in RNAcentral is "bacterial SSU rRNA". It matches the Rfam family "Bacterial small subunit ribosomal RNA", at positions 116 to 1391 of the family's 1533-position model. The record is from RNAcentral. Lineage: Bacteria; Bacillati; Bacillota; Bacilli; Caryophanales; Staphylococcaceae.
CGUGGGUAACCUACCUAUAAGACUGGGAUAACUUCGGGAAACCGGAGCUAAUACCGGAUAACAUUUGGAACCGCAUGGUUCUAAAGUGAAAGAUGGUUUUGCUAUCACUUAUAGAUGGACCCGCGCCGUAUUAGCUAGUUGGUAAGGUAACGGCUUACCAAGGCGACGAUACGUAGCCGACCUGAGAGGGUGAUCGGCCACACUGGAACUGAGACACGGUCCAGACUCCUACGGGAGGCAGCAGUAGGGAAUCUUCCGCAAUGGGCGAAAGCCUGACGGAGCAACGCCGCGUGAGUGAUGAAGGGUUUCGGCUCGUAAAACUCUGUUAUUAGGGAAGAACAAACGUGUAAGUAACUGUGCACGUCUUGACGGUACCUAAUCAGAAAGCCACGGCUAACUACGUGCCAGCAGCCGCGGUAAUACGUAGGUGGCAAGCGUUAUCCGGAAUUAUUGGGCGUAAAGCGCGCGUAGGCGGUUUCUUAAGUCUGAUGUGAAAGCCCACGGCUCAACCGUGGAGGGUCAUUGGAAACUGGGAAACUUGAGUGCAGAAGAGGAAAAGUGGAAUUCCAUGUGUAGCGGUGAAAUGCGCAGAGAUAUGGGAGGAACACCCAGUGGGCGAAAGGCGACUUUCUGGGUCUGUAACUGACGCUGAUGUGCGAAAGCGUGGGGAUCAAACAGGAUUAGAUACCCUGGUAGUUCCACGCCGUAAACGAUGAGUGCUAAGUGUUAGGGGGGUUUCCGCCCCUUAGUGCUGCAGCUAAACGCAUUAAGCACUCCGCCUGGGGAGUACGACCGCAAGGUUGAAACUCAAAGGAAUUGACGGGGACCCGCACAAGCGGUGGAGCAUGUGGUUUAAUUCGAAGCAACGCGAAGAACCUUACCAAAUCUUGACAUCCUUUGAAAACUCUAGAGAUAGAGCCUUCCCCUUCGGGGGACAAAGUGACAGGUGGUGCAUGGUUGUCGUCAGCUCGUGUCGUGAGAUGUUGGGUUAAGUCCCGCAACGAGCGCAACCCUUAAGCUUAGUUGCCAUCAUUAAGUUGGGCACUCUAGGUUGACUGCCGGUGACAAACCGGAGGAAGGUGGGGAUGACGUCAAAUCAUCAUGCCCCUUAUGAUUUGGGCUACACACGUGCUACAAUGGACAAUACAAAGGGCAGCUAAACCGCGAGGUCAUGCAAAUCCCAUAAAGUUGUUCUCAGUUCGGAUUGUAGUCUGCAACUCGACUACAUGAAGCUGGAAUCGCUAGUAAUCGUAGAUCAGCAUGCUACGGUGAAUACGUUCCCGGGUCUUGUACACACC